AUACGUAGGGGGCGAGCGUUGUCCGGAAUGAUUGGGCGUAAAGGGCGCGUAGGCGGCGCGGUAAGUCUGGAGUGAAAGUCCUGCUUUCAAGGUGGGAAUUGCUUUGGAUACUGUCGGGCUUGAGUGCAGGAGAGGGAAGUGGAAUUCCCAGUGUAGCGGUGAAAUGCGUAGAGAUUGGGAGGAACACCAGUGGCGAAGGCGACUUACUGGACUGUAACUGACGCUGAGGCGCGAAAGUGUGGGGAGCAAACAGGAUUAGAUACCCUGGUAGUCCACACUGUAAACGAUGAAUGCUAGGUGUAGGGGGUAUCGACCCCUUCUGUGCCGCAGUCAACACAAUAAGCAUUCCGCCUGGGGAGUACGGCCGCAAGGUUGAAACUCAAAGGAAUUGACGGGG
Molecule: ribosomal RNA, 397 nt
Filed under: uncultured bacterium
Lineage: Bacteria
Description: partial 16S ribosomal RNA
Rfam family: Bacterial small subunit ribosomal RNA
Source: RNAcentral